Molecule: non-coding RNA, 332 nt
Filed under: Zea mays
Lineage: Eukaryota; Viridiplantae; Streptophyta; Magnoliopsida; Poales; Poaceae
Description: Eukaryotic small subunit ribosomal RNA
Rfam family: Eukaryotic small subunit ribosomal RNA
Source: Rfam by way of RNAcentral
AGGAAGUACUUUUUAUGUGUUGACGACUUUGACGUUGGAUGUUUAAAAUUGACUAGCAAACAAGUUUACUUGUUACAUCGAAAGAAAGAAAAAAACAACAUAACAAGCACAUACAUGGAUGUUAAGCGCGAGUCAUCAGCUCGCGUUGACUACGUCCCUGCUCUUUGUACACACCGUCCGUCGCUCCUACCGAUUGAAUGGUCCGGUGAAGUGUUCGGAUCGCGGCGACGGGGGCGGUUCGCCGCCCCCGACGUCGCGAAAAGUCCAUUGAAUCUUAUCAUUUAGAGGAAGAAGAAGUGGUAACAAGGUUUCCGUAGGUGAACCUGCAGAAU